AUGAGUGGUCCGCUGGCCGAGUGGACCCGCGAACUCACCAGCGGACUUUCCACGAUCCAUAAAUCACUUUCUGGAGACCCGCCCUCGCCAACAUGGCGGCGCCCAGUUGGGGCGGGUUCGUUUGCUUCGCGUUUUGGCCAGGGCGGGGGUCUGGGCUUUAGGCAGGUAGCAUUUAGUUUCACAAUGUUUGGGGACCUAUUUGAAGAGGAGUAUUCCACUGUGUCUAAUAAUCAGUAUGGAAAAGGGAAGAAAUUAAAGACUAAAGCUUUGGAGCCGCCUGCUCCUAGAGAAUUCACCAAUUUAAGCGGAAUCAGAAAUCAGGGUGGAACCUGUUACCUCAAUUCCCUUCUUCAAACUCUUCAUUUCACACCUGAAUUCAGAGAAGCUCUAUUUUCUCUUGGCCCAGAAGAGCUUGGUUUGUUUGAAGAUAAGGAUAAACCCGAUGCAAAGGUUCGAAUCAUCCCUUUACAGUUACAGCGCUUGUUUGCUCAGCUUCUGCUCUUAGACCAGGAAGCUGCAUCCACAACAGACCUCACUGACAGCUUUGGGUGGACCAGUAAUGAGGAAAUGAGGCAACAUGAUGUGCAGGAACUGAAUCGAAUCCUCUUCAGCGCUUUGGAAACUUCUUUAGUUGGGACCUCCGGUCAUGACCUCAUCAAUCGUCUGUAUCAUGGAACCAUUGUUAACCAGAUUGUUUGUAAGAAUGUAAGAACGUCAGCGAGAGGCAGGAAGACUUCUUAGAUCUAACAGUAGCAGUCAAAAAUGUAUCUGGUUUGGAAGAUGCUCUCUGGAACAUGUAUGUAGAAGAGGAAGUUUUUGAUUGUGACAACUUGUACCACUGUGGAACUUGUGACAGGCUGGUUAAAGCAGCAAAGUCGGCCAAAUUACGUAAGCUGCCUCCUUUUCUUACUGUUUCAUUACUAAGAUUUAAUUUUGAUUUUUGUGAAAUGCGAACGCUACAAGGAAACUAGCUGUUACACAUUCCCUCUCCGGAUCAAUCUCAAGCCCUUUUGUGAACAGAGUGAAUUGGAUGACUUAGAAUAUAUAUAUGACCUCUUCUCAGUUAUUAUACACAAAGGUGGCUGCUACGGAGGCCAUUACCAUGUAUAUAUUAAAGAUGUUGAUCAUUUGGGAAACUGGCAGUUUCAA
Molecule: RNA transcript, 1149 nt
Organism: Nomascus leucogenys (northern white-cheeked gibbon)
Lineage: Eukaryota; Metazoa; Chordata; Mammalia; Primates; Hylobatidae
Gene name: ubiquitin carboxyl-terminal hydrolase 40-like
Exons: 9
Source: RefSeq, a predicted model, not a curated record